This 301-nucleotide ribosomal RNA is filed under the name uncultured bacterium. RNAcentral's name for it is "partial 16S ribosomal RNA". It matches the Rfam family "Bacterial small subunit ribosomal RNA", at positions 509 to 809 of the family's 1533-position model. The record is from RNAcentral.
CAGUCGCCACGGUAAUACGUAGGGUGCAAGCGUUAAUCGGAAUUACUGGGCGUAAAGCGCACGCAGGCGGUUUGUUAAGUCAGAUGUGAAAUCCCCGAGCUUAACUUGGGAACUGCAUUUGAAACUGGCAAGCUAGAGUCUUGAAGAGGGGGGUAGAAUUCCAGGUGUAGCGGUGAAAUGCGUAGAGAUCUGGAGGAAUACCGGUGGCGAAGGCGGCCCCCUGGACAAAGACUGACGCUCAGGUGCGAAAGCGUGGGGAGCAAACAGGAUUAGAUACCCCUGUAGUCCCUGUCUCUUAUCC